GUUAUAUUUUGCAUCCCUAGACAACGAUGACUUACUUUACCUUAAGGAACAGAUGGAAGUUGACGAAGAUGUGAACGCCUUCUGCAAGGCAGCAAGAUUUACUAAAAAGUGUUUUAGGAGUCAAGCCUAAGAAGCCGAAAGUUUCUAGAAGGUUUGAUGGGAGUAAUUCCAUCUCAAGUACACAAGUUAUUCUUAGUAUUAAUUAUGAUUCCAAUCAGGAGAAGCAGAAAGAUGUCUUGCCGGCUAAACCAAAUGAUACUGAAAAAGAAACAAAGGUAGAUAAUCCGAUAAAAAUCUCGAUAGCAGCAUAUGAGAGUUCAGAUGAUGAAGAUUGAUUCUGUAUGGAUUUGAUUGAUGAAUGAUUCUUAGAUCAUAGUGUUUAAAUCAUCAAAUAUCCUUAGCAUUUGUAAUGUGGCCAUUUUGAUCGAGGAUCCAUCGCAGAGGCCUAAAUGUUGUUACCGUAAAUUAGCUGACAAGUGAAUAUCGAUAAAUUGUAU
RNAcentral lists this unclassified non-coding RNA (497 nucleotides) under Hevea brasiliensis (rubber tree). Lineage: Eukaryota; Viridiplantae; Streptophyta; Magnoliopsida; Malpighiales; Euphorbiaceae. The record is from RNAcentral.